UGCGCCCGGCCUGCCUCAUAGUAUUAUAAUGAAAAUUACACAAAGUAAUAUAUGGAAAGUGGCCGAUAUAGUCAGAACCUGUCUGAAAAUGGGCACUUAAUAAAUAAAUGUUAACUCUCCUUUUCUCUCUGCUCCCCCUUCACUCCCCUCCCUUCCCUUCCCCUCCUCUCCUCUCUCCUCUCCUUUACCUAUUCUCUCUUUGGAGAGAAACCAGUCAGAAGACAAGCGGCCAGGGGUGCCCAUACACAUCAGCAGAGGAGGCUGGAGGAACAGUUCAGGCCAGGGCCUCCAAAAGCUGGCUGCAAUUUCUGCGGCAGGAAAUCCGCUUGAACAUUAAUUUAAAAGUGAAGGAAGAAGAAGCCUCCAUGACAGAGGAGCAAUCCAAGCCUCUCCAGCAUGGCAGAUUUGGCCCAGGAUAAAGAAGAAUGGUGUCAUGAUCAGGACACAGUCAGGAAGGGCUGGGGGAGCUCCGGAACAAAUGCAGCAAAAUGCCGACAUCUGUUUUAUCUCAACAGUGGACUGUGCUUCUUUGGAGGUGAACUUGUGCUGAUACUUGAUGGGUCACGCAGACUUACAGUGAGAAACAGCUUCAGGAAAGUCAGAAGAGAAAUCCGAGCAAUAAUUAAAAACACACGGUAUUAGUCUGUUCCCAACGCUGCUAAUAAAGACAUACCUGAGACUGGGUAAUUUAUAAAGAAAAGAGGUUUA
Molecule: long non-coding RNA, 708 nt
Filed under: Homo sapiens (human)
Lineage: Eukaryota; Metazoa; Chordata; Mammalia; Primates; Hominidae
Description: HSALNT0318821
Source: RNAcentral